RNAcentral lists this unclassified non-coding RNA (18 nucleotides) under Mus musculus (house mouse). Its description in RNAcentral is "oocyte_clustered_small_RNA14140". Lineage: Eukaryota; Metazoa; Chordata; Mammalia; Rodentia; Muridae. The record is from RNAcentral.
AAGCAAAGCCUCUCCAUG